This is a long non-coding RNA of Athene cunicularia (burrowing owl), 685 nucleotides long. RefSeq lists it as uncharacterized. NCBI's taxonomy places the organism in Eukaryota, Metazoa, Chordata, Aves, Strigiformes, Strigidae. The record is from RefSeq and is a predicted model, not a curated record. The transcript has 3 exons.
UGUACACAUUUAUUUAUUUUCUCUACUUUCUAAGCCUGAUAAGAAUGUGCAGUUUUUAUUCAUGUUUGUAAGCAACUUCAUGAAUCACAGUUCUCUGCUCAAUACGUUUUCUUUUUUAUUGCAAUUCAGGGGGCUGGAAUAAUUUGAUAGGGAUUUAACGAUGUGGGAGUCUGAACAUACAUAUUUUUAUAUAUAUGUAUGUGAUGUGUUUCACUUCAGGUUUUAAGAGAGGUGCAGAUCCUGGAAUGCCUGAGCCAACUAUCUGGAGUCUACUUUGGGGAUGAAGGAUGUGGUGGUCCUGUUCUAGAACCAGCCAAUGGACAGAGAAAGUGUCUGAAGAUACGAGCAUUCCAGAGGACGAGGUGGACACUUAUACCAGCUGGCUCAAUCAGCUUGCUAAUGACAUAAGGUUCUACAUACAGCAAAAUGGAGUUUAUAUGGACCUAAUUUAUUUGCAUUACAGUUUAAUUAAAUAAAUACAAUUUGAAUGGUUAUGCAUUGUUUUUAAAUCUUUACAUAGCUAUAAUGUAGUAAUUUCUUUAUUACAGAAAGGAUAACCUGUUGUGUGGGGUUUGUUUUUUCCUUUUUCCCAAAAUAUGAUGAUAUUCAACCCCAGUAUUUAUCUCUGUUAUGAUGGUCUUUUAGAUAAAGAUUCCUCUUUAUCUUCAAGUGAAAUCAGUGUCAU